RNAcentral lists this ribosomal RNA (253 nucleotides) under uncultured bacterium. Its description in RNAcentral is "partial 16S ribosomal RNA". It matches the Rfam family "Bacterial small subunit ribosomal RNA", at positions 524 to 776 of the family's 1533-position model. The record is from RNAcentral.
GACGGAGGGUGCGAGCGUUAUUCGGAAUCAUUGGGCGUAAAGAGCGUGUAGGCGGCGGGUUAAGUCAGGUGUGAAAGCCCGGGGCUAAACCUCGGAAGUGCGCUUGAAACUGGAUGGCUUGAGUGCGGGAGAGGGACGCGGAAUUCCUGGUGGAGAGGUGAAAUACGUAGAUAUCAGGAGGAACACCGGUGGCGAAGGCGGCUUCCUGGGCCGAAACUCACGCUGAUCCGCGAAAGCGUGGGGAGCAAACAGG